AUACGUAGGUGACAAGCGUUAUCCGGAUUUACUGGGCGUAAAGGGCGUGUAGGCGGUCUUGCAAGUCAGAAGUGAAAUUCCUGAGCUCAACUCGGGCGCUGCUUCUGAAACUGCAGGACUUGAGUGCUGGAGGGGAUAGCGGAAUUCCUAGUGGAGCGGUAAAAUGCGCAAAAAUUAGGAAGAACACCGGUGGCGAAGGCGGCUAUCGGGACAGGAACGGACGCUGAGGCGCGAAAGCGAGCGGAGCAAACAGCAUGAAGUACCCUGGUAGCCCACGCCGUAAACGAUGAAUACUAGGUUUAGGGGGUAUCGACUCCCUCUGUGCCGCAGUUAACACAAUAAGUAUUCCGCCUGGGGAGUACGGCCGCAAGGUUGAAACUCAAAGGAAUUGACGGGU
RNAcentral lists this ribosomal RNA (397 nucleotides) under uncultured bacterium. RNAcentral's name for it is "partial 16S ribosomal RNA". It matches the Rfam family "Bacterial small subunit ribosomal RNA", at positions 523 to 918 of the family's 1533-position model. The record is from RNAcentral.